GAAAUGCGAUACUUGGUGUGAAUUGCAGAAUCCCGUGAACCAUCGAGUCUUUGAACGCAAGUUGCGCCCGAAGCCAUUAGGCCGAGGGCACGCCUGCCUGGGUGUCACACAUCGUUAUCUGGGUUCAUGGCCGACUUCGCCGUGAUAAAAUGGUGGAUGAGCCACGCUCGAGACCAAUCACGUGCGAGCCGGUCAGUUCUGGACCCAUCGACGACCCUUUGCGUGCACGCACGCUCCCAACGAGACCUCAGGUCAGGCGGGGCUACCCGCUGAGUUUAA
This 279-nucleotide unclassified non-coding RNA is filed under the name uncultured fungus. RNAcentral describes it as "sequence contains ITS1". The stretch from base 1 to 107 matches the Rfam family "5.8S ribosomal RNA", at positions 50 to 154 of the family's 154-position model. The record is from RNAcentral. Lineage: Eukaryota; Fungi.